UUUACCUCUGCUGUUUUGCUCUGCUGAAGUGUCAAUCAUUUACCAAAAAUGUUGGAGUACUUUGGGUGGAUAUUAGCAAAGAAGGAAUCAAUUUGGCAAGAUUUACAAAAAUUGCCUAAAAAAGCAUUCAUCUGCUAGUACAAGCUGAGACAUGAAAAUCUCUCUUAUUCUGAGCAUUUUCCAGGCUGGAUUGAGUGUAAGAUAGCUCAAAGCAUACACCCCUAGAGAGCUCCAUCAUCACUCCUCUGUUUGAUUUGGAAACACCAACUGUAUCUCACUGAGCAAUAGGGUAAUCUCUGCUCCACUAUCACUCAGGAGACACAUGAGAGUCUUCAGCAACACCACAUCUCAAAAGCUUCAGUUGUCUUCUCAUCAGCAACAUUGAUUCCCCAUGAUUCACAUCAUGGGUAGGCCUCUCUUAAUGGAGGGUGCCAGUUGUCAAAAUGGGCGCAGUAAACAGAGUUAUCAAGCAACAAGGGAAAAUGAAGGUAGCUCAAACAGGUGAAAAAGAAACAGCAGGGAGCAUCCUUCCACACAGACUCUUUGUCCCCUAUUUCCCAGCUGGAAAUGUUUUUUCAAGAGGAAGACUGAAACUAUAAAAAGAACGGGCAAACGCCAGAAGACACCCCCCUCUCUGUCUCCCUGCCUGUUUCUGGCCUCACAUUUAAGAAGACAAAGGAAAACAUCUCUUGGACUUUGGGGGUAAGGACUUCAGGUCCUGGCCUGAAGAGUUUUGUCAAUAACCUCGCUGGAAGCAUGUGGUGAGAAAUUUUGCUUGAAUCUAAUAUAGUUUGUUAAAUUAGGCAUUAGUCAGUGUUUUAACUUUAUUUUUCUUGUAACCAUUUCUGACUUGGAUGCAUCAUUAC
This is a long non-coding RNA of Mauremys mutica (yellowpond turtle), 866 nucleotides long. RefSeq lists it as uncharacterized. The transcript has 4 exons. The record is from RefSeq and is a predicted model, not a curated record. NCBI's taxonomy places the organism in Eukaryota, Metazoa, Chordata, Testudines, Geoemydidae.